RNAcentral lists this small nucleolar RNA (117 nucleotides) under Hucho hucho (huchen). Lineage: Eukaryota; Metazoa; Chordata; Actinopteri; Salmoniformes; Salmonidae. The record is from RNAcentral.
AGUCAAAAGUGUUGCGUUCAGCUCUGGGCCUCUCCCCAGUCCUGGUAAUUAUUAAUUGGCAUAGUGGCUCUGAGUAGGAAGUAGACAUGCCCAGCCACUUGAUUCCACUCUAGCCAA